This is a long non-coding RNA of Varanus komodoensis (Komodo dragon), 1604 nucleotides long. RefSeq lists it as uncharacterized. The record is from RefSeq and is a predicted model, not a curated record. NCBI's taxonomy places the organism in Eukaryota, Metazoa, Chordata, Lepidosauria, Squamata, Varanidae. The transcript is spliced from 5 exons.
UGUUUGUGUAAAUCAGCCAUCACAAAACAGGCAAACGUGUUGAAUGAGUCUCCAAAAAUAACUCCCUGAGGCCAAACGCAGCCUCUCACAACAACCCAGCCGGGUACAUGGAUGCAGAUGGGUUCCUAGAACACUCACCUAGCAGGGCAAGCAUGUGCUACAAGUGGCCCACCCUCCAGAAGGAGCUCCUCUUUGGCUAGAGUUGAGUCUAGCUCCUCACGUGAACUUCACAGCUGGCCGGAGCAUAGUGAGAGAGCGCUUCCUUCUCCCUGUAAGAAGCAGGUGGAAUCAUGCAGUGCUCUUGGUUAGUAUGAACUUGGUUAGUGCUUUUGUCCCUCCUCAGAUAUACCUUCGUUACACUGCCACAUGCUUUCCCGAGCACAAAGAUGCCCGAGGUCUUCAAUUACGCGCUCACAGGGCUGAUCUGCAGAAUAUAGCAGUGCCAACCCUGGGCUUCCAACCACAAGAAACGCAUCUCCUGGCACUGUGGAUCUAUCUAUGUGAUACCAUGACCAGCUGAAUGUAGGCCUGUAUGUGCAGCCGUGCUCACACAGAUAUCCGCCUGCUCCCACCACAACAAAAGAAGAAACCAUUCUUAUGAUUGCGUUGGAAAGAAAUUCUUACGAUUGCUUUGGAGGCAAGACCAAGAGAUGUGUCCCACUAAUUCUACCCUGUGGGUGAUCAAAAAUCCUGCUUUAUUUUCUGAAAUUUCACUAGAGGACUCUCACUGUCUAUUCAGACUAGCCUCCACAGGCAGCCUAAAGACUUGAAAACUAAGCGUUCACGAUUGGAAAGGAAUCUCAAAACCUGUCAAAUGCUGUGCCAGAUGUGGAAUCCCACAUUGCUGCGGCAAGCCUGUUCAGACAGGAAUACUCAAAGCCUUAACUUUUUUCAGAAACAAAGCAAGUUUGAAGCCCAUGUGUUGAUGAACCCGCCUGAGGUCAGAGUUCCGCUUGUGAUGCACAAAGACUGUACCUGUUUGAGUGGCCUCUUCAGCGUAACAAACAUCUCAGCACAUGGAAAUGUAGCAUUAGCCUGCAAAUGCAGUCGCUUUCUCCAUGCCACUCCAGACAGCUUAUUGAACAGGCGAAGCGUAGAAAUCCCACAUGGCUUUGUGACAUGAGCAAACGAUCCGUGUGCAAGGAACAGCAUACUUCAAACUGCAGUGCUUAUGAUGUGACAGAGCUGUGGAUGCAGGUAUGGAAACAUCUGGAAAGGGUGCCAUUUACAUGAGUAAGUUGUUUGUUAGCAGUCCUCCGAAGCAAAAAUUGGGUGCUCUGACCUAAGAAAAGGAAUUUCGCCACAGGAUUCCCCUCAUUUCCAUUUCACACAUCCUUCCUAAAACCCUUCGGAAAGCAGCUUGAACAUUAACAGUUUGCCUAAGUGUAAUAAAUAUAGACAGAGCCACUGCAUUAUCAAGCAGAUAUAACUAUCAGUUGCUAUGGCAGUGCUGAAAAGGGAAGUUUUAUUUAAAUCUGUGGCAUCCAUGUCUUGUGUCUUUUGAUCCAGACAUUUGCCAUUUUCACAAAUGGUUUCUGUUCUUUGAUUCUGUGAGCCAUCCUACAUGAACACGGCCAGUUUCAAAUACAGACUACAAAUCAAAA